AAUGAACGUUGGCGGCGUGGAUUAGGCAUGCAAGUCGAGCGGCAGCAGGCCCAGCAAUGGGCGCUGGCGAGCGGCGAAAGGGAGAGUAACGCGUGGGUACGUACCCCUGGGAUCAGGAUAGCGGCGGGAAACUGCCGGUAAUACUGAAUAACAUCUCAGGAUCAAAGGUGUGAUUCCGCCUGGGGAUCGGCCCGCGUCCUAUCAGCUUGUUGGCGAGGUAAUGGCUCACCAAGGCUAUGACGGGUACUGGGUGUGAGAGCACGACCCAGCUCACUGGGACUGAGAUACUGCCCAGACACCUACGGGUGGCAG
RNAcentral lists this ribosomal RNA (312 nucleotides) under uncultured Planctomycetota bacterium. Its description in RNAcentral is "bacterial SSU rRNA". It matches the Rfam family "Bacterial small subunit ribosomal RNA", at positions 29 to 351 of the family's 1533-position model. Lineage: Bacteria; Pseudomonadati; Planctomycetota. The record is from RNAcentral.